This 253-nucleotide ribosomal RNA is filed under the name uncultured bacterium. RNAcentral describes it as "partial 16S ribosomal RNA". It matches the Rfam family "Bacterial small subunit ribosomal RNA", at positions 524 to 776 of the family's 1533-position model. The record is from RNAcentral.
UACGUAGGCAGCGAGCGUUGUUCGGAGUUACUGGGCGUAAAGCGUGCGUAGGCGGUGUUCCAAGUCUGUUGUGAAAUCUCCCGGCUUAACUGGGAGGGUGCGGCGGAAACUGGAACGCUGGAGUAUGGGAGAGGUAAGCGGAAUUCCCGGUGUAGCGGUGAAAUGCGUAGAUAUUCGGAAGAACACCAGUGGCGAAGGCGACUGACUGGACAAGUAUUGACGCUGAGGUGCGAAAGCGUGGGGAGCAAACAGG